This 143-nucleotide non-coding RNA is filed under the name Candidatus Brocadia. Its description in RNAcentral is "c-di-GMP sequence". It matches the Rfam family "c-di-GMP-I riboswitch aptamer". From Rfam's summary of the family: GEMM was predicted in a large-scale screen for bacterial structured RNA regulatory elements. Genes associated with GEMM are involved in a diverse array of functions, including chemotaxis regulation, signal transduction, secretion and chitin. The record is from RNAcentral. Lineage: Bacteria; Pseudomonadati; Planctomycetota; Candidatus Brocadiia; Candidatus Brocadiales; Candidatus Brocadiaceae.
AACGAUAAAGGCAAACUCCGAGUGAUCGGGGGACGCAAAGGAAAGGGUCUUUAAUAGGUUCAUGCGGGGUUCACCUGAGAUAAUAAAAGAGACGCGUACCAUAGAGGAAGCUUUAACUUUUAAAGAUAGCCUUACUGCCGAAG